Alligator mississippiensis (American alligator) is the source of this 6236-nucleotide long non-coding RNA. RefSeq lists it as uncharacterized. NCBI's taxonomy places the organism in Eukaryota, Metazoa, Chordata, Crocodylia, Alligatoridae. The transcript has 2 exons. The record is from RefSeq and is a predicted model, not a curated record.
GUCGGGGUUUGCUCCCGCUAUCCGCACAAUGAUGGUGUAGCCAUCUCCAAACCUGAAAGCAAAAUGGGAAAUACAGGAGGAAAUAUAGCAACUUAACUGAAAAUGAACCUAGACCCCAUCAAAGCAGACCAACGCGAAUAGACACACUGCUAUAACGAGCACUACAUGCCUGUGAGAUGUCAGCACCACCGAUCUGCCCUCCUUGAUGACACUCAGAGCACAAUUCCAAAGGAAACGUCGUGCUUUGGGAUCCAUUCCUGUGGUUGGCUCAUCCUGCAGAUGACAUUUGUUAAUCAUGUUAUGUAGUAGCCCAGUACUGAUACACAUUGUAAUCCUGUGGGAAGUAACUGAAUGGAGAAGAGGAAAAUGGCAGGGAAGCCUUUUUCUUUUCUUUUUAAAAUUUAAAAGCAUGAUACUUUCCCCCGUAAUUGAAGUUGGGGGGAAAAAUGUUAGAUCUGCUCUAUAAAUGGUCCCAAACUGGGGAAAAAAUGUUGUGAAGAUUGUUGUCCUUCCUCCUCUCAGAUUAUGAAAAUCUGAAAUUUCACCAAAUUUCGAAAUAUCAAGGACACUUAGCUACUGAAACCAGCUAAGGCAGAAUGGGUAACCCUUGCUCUUCAUCUGUCAUGGGUUUAGGUAAUCCUAGAUCACAUACUGUAUUCACUCAAAUAUAAGAUGAUCCCCUUAUAAUUAAAUUCUCUACCUAGAAAAUUGAUACAUUUGUCAUAAUUUUCCAGGUAUAGAAUCUAACUAUUGGACGUUUGCCUUCAAUUUGUCUCACUCCCACUGCUAUCGGAGGGAAAAAAAAUAUGGGGGGUCAGGUAGCUCCCUUGUCUGCUACCCCACCCCACUGCAACCCCUUCCCCCUCUCUUUACUGUCAGACUCUGCUGUUACCGAGCACAUAGAAGUGUGGGGCAAAUUUGAAAACAGUGACCUUGACAUAAACAUACCUGUAGUAAUUUGCAUAUAUAUAUAUGUGUGUGUGUGUGUGUGUGUGUGUGUGUGUGUGUGUGUGUGUGUAUAUAUAUAUAUAUAAAAUAUAUAUAUAAAUAUAUAUAAAUUGCAUAUAUGCAAAUUACUAGUUAUCCACAGACUUAGUUCAGAUGCAUUUUACCUUUUUUUUAAACUGCUGCAAGUUUUAGCACAGCUACUCCAUAAACACACUUUUAAGCAACAAUUUUUUUUUUUUUUACCUAUUUAGAUACUUUUUUUUUUUAAUUUGUAUCCGAGGCCAAAUUAAUCAAAGCUAAUUCCAAAUCCAAGAGUCCAGAACUGUAAGUGGCCUUACUACUGGCAAACAUCCUCCAUCUGCACCUAGGGCUUCAGAUGUUUCCAAAACCUUUGGCAGGCAUCCUACUUGCAGGCCCAAGCCCUGGGGCUUAGGAUUCAGAUGCCCCUAAGUUUUGCUUGCCCUUAGCCAUAAGGCCCUUGGAGCAAGCAAGGGAGGAGGCUCCCAUUUCCACAAACUGGGCUUAAAGCCACUGCAGCUCAGUGGGUACUGAACCAUGGCAGAAGAGCAGUUCUCCUGCAAAGCAGUUCAGGAAAACUGCCCUCUUGGACACAGAUGCAUGGUAUUUCCCCUGCCAGGUUAAGAAGCUGUUACGCUUGAUCUGAGCCUUAUAUACAGUACAGGCUAUGCUAGAUAUUAGUCCAAAGCCAAAAGACUCAUGAUUUACCAUUUAGUUCACUGGGCUGGACCAACAGCAUUUCAAGCCAUAGUGACCUCACAGCUCAGAACUGCUCAGUAUGUGUGUGCUCCAGAUACUGCCCCUUCUCCCCCAACAAAGGUCCAUGUGCUAAUUAGCCCCCACUCAUGACUGGAACUGGUGGUUUUUGUCAUGAGUCCUGGGAUCUUCCAAACAUGUGUAUGUAGAUGAGACACCCGGCAACCUCAUUUGGCUCUACCUUAUGGGGGGGCUGGGCCACGCUAAUUAUAUGUGACAGGUUGAGAGAGGGGACAACAGAGAGAUUCCAGAUGAACUGUCUGAGGCCCCAUUUGGUGAUGUUUGUCAGACAUUUAAGGCUGGUGAAGAAACAGGAAUGCUUGGAAAUGGGAAAGAAAGAUGCAGCUCAGCUGUGGAAGUGAAGAGGAAGUAAAAAUGUAUUCGAAGUAGUGGUCCACUAUAACUUGAAAAGGAGCUAGGGCUGAGCACAACAGGCACUACCCUAUAUCUAGGCUUGGCAAAAUUCAAUUUUUAUUCUUUAAUCAUAGUAUCAUAGUACUUGGGGUUGAAAGGGACCUAAACAGAUCAUCAGGUCCAACCCCCUACCCUGGGCAGAAACAGGUGCUGGGAUCAUAUCACCCCAGCCAAAUAUCUGUCCAGCCUCCUCUUGAAGACCCCCAAGGUAGGGGAGAGCACCGCCUCACUUGGGAGUCCAUUCCAGAGCCUGGCAGCCCUGACUGUAAAGUAAUGUCUCCUGAUGUCCAGCCUGAACCUUCUCGCUAACAAUUUGUGGCCAUUAUGCCUAGUAACCCCGGGUGGUGCCCAGGGUAACAGAGCCUUCCCCCAUUCUCGCUGGUCCCCCCUGGUGAGUAUGUAAACAGCCACCAGAUCCCCUCUCAGCCUUCUCUUGUGGAGGCUGAAUAGGUGCAGGCCCUUUAGCCUCUCUUCGUAGGGCCUACCCUGCUGCCCCUUGACCAUGCGAGUGGCCCUCCUCUGGACCAUCUCAAUGCUAGCCAUAUCCCUCUUGAAGUGCGGCGCCCAGAACUGGACACAGUACUCCAACUGUGGCCUGACCAGUGCCGCAGAGGGUAAGGAUCACCCCCCUGGACCUGCUUGUGAUGUAUCUGUAGAUGCACGACAAGGUGUAGUUAGCCUUACUGACCACUUCCUCUCAUUGGCUGCUCAUGUUCGUCCUGGAGUCAACAAUGACUCCAAGAUCCCUUUCUGCCACCAUGUUGACAAGAAGGGUGUUCCCCAGCCUGCAGGUGUGUUGCUGGUUCCUUCUCCCUAGAUGCAGCACCUUGCACUUGACUGUGUUGAAUUCCAUCCUAUUCUCAUUUGCCCAUCUCUGUCUCCCUGUCUAGAUCUAGUUGGAUUCUGUCCCUCCCCUCCAGCAUGCCCACCUCGCCCCACAACUUGGUGUCGUCAGUGAAUUUGGACAGCGUGCAUUCCACCCCCACAUCCAGAUCACUGAUAAAGAUGUUGAACAGUACAGUAAUACUUUUAUUUUGAUUUUUAUUUAUCUAAAUUUUCUGGAUCGUGCAAAAUAAGGGUUGUGGGGGGAUAUGCAUGCGCGCAUAUAUACACAUACACACAUGCCCACUUCCUCCUCCAGUCUAGCACGCAGCAGGCAUGGGGGAAGUUGCUGUGCUACUGGGAUGUCAGCCUGCUGCCUGGACCCUGUCCACAGCACCAUAGAGCUCAGUGCCCACUUUCCUUUAUCCUGUGGUGUUUGCUGCUCCCCUGCCCUGGCUUCCCCCUGCUCCCUGGCAAGGAAACCUGCCCCCUACAGCCAGCAGCUUGCUCUGCUCAUUGGCUCCCACCUGAGUUUGCAAGGAAGGAACUCACUGGCUAGCACCCUGCAGCUGGGGAGGCAGGGGCAGGGACAAACACACAGAAACACACAGUGCACAGCCCAUGCCCCUGCCUUUAGUUAGUGCUCAGCAGGAGCCUGCCCAGGCACUAAGGCAGGCACCAGCCUAUUCUUAUGUCCCCUUUCAAUAAAUUGUGAUUAUUGAUGGAAAUAUGUUUUCGUUGAUCUGUGAGCAUGAGGUGAAAUCGAUAUUUGUUGACGUUUAUGGAUAAAAACUGAAUCCGGCCAAGCCCACACAGAUCUUAAUCAGAUGGCCUGCACUAAUUUAUCAUUGUGGUAGGUCCUCAUCAGUAUGUUUUCCCAAUGUGGGUCAUGUGUUUUAUAGUCAUGGUCAGUGUUGGCUGUAUUUAAUCAACUUCAAAGUUGGUUUCCAUUACUGAGCACAUGGUGCUAUUGGCAGCAGUUUAGUGAUAGCCAAUGUAUGCAAUGCGGUUUCCUUGUUUGUGAAUGUAAGAUGAGGAGCUUUUUACCCCUGUGCUGACUAGGGGGGAAAACCUCAUCUUAUAUUUGAGUAAACAGCAUAUUAUGGUUUUUUAUUGAAGGAAUCAUAGCAAGAAUGGUUAAAAUAUUGCUUGGAGGAAUGUCUUAAGUUUUUCUGCAACUGUUAACACAGAUACAGAGGGUUGGAUCCUGUUGUCCCGUGGACAGAACUCCCAGGGACGAUAUUGGAGUUUCAGGUGCUGGUCCAAGUUAUUUGUGAGUCUAUACCUGCAGUUCCACUGCCAUAGUAGCUGACUGUUUUGGCAAAAUAUUCUCUAGACCAAAUUCUCAGGCACAGAGGCCCAAAGUUUGUGCCAUAUCUUGCCCUGUAUUUUCAACUGUAACUGUAUUUCUAAUAAGCUCAUUUGUACCUGUAAAUUGGGCUUUUUCACACACAAGUGGCUAGUGCUGCAUCUGGAUUUGUAUUUUUUGCCAAAUGGCAGAGCUACGUUGACUUCAAUGGGCACUGGAUUGAGAUCUUGCUGUUGUGAGUGAAAGGAAGGGGUGAUACAGAAAUGGUUGCACUCACCAGGAAUACCACCGGAGGCCCUCCAAUCAGGGCAAUGGCCGUAGACAGCUUGCGCCGGUUCCCUCCACUGUAAUUCCCAGCAUAUUUUUCUCCAUAUUUUACAAGACCCAGUUUACGAACUGCCCAGUCCCCGACCUGCAGGAGAGAGGGCAGUGUGACCCGACAUGAGGACAGCAAGGGCUCCUCGGCAGCAAAGGGAUGCAAUUUUCCUGACUCUGGUGGGUCCUGCCCUGCUGAGUCUACCAAUUGGAAACACCACCUGUGCCAGUCAGUGCCAACUGCCAGCAUUGCAACUGUGGACUCUCAGACAGGGUACUGGAUCAUGGGAUAUAGCACAGCUCAUUCCCCAUUGAAGGCAGGAGACAUGCUUGCUCCUUGCUCAGGAAAGGAGAAAGGCUAUUUGCUCCUCUUACACCCAAAGGUACCAGUGCUGGCAGCACAUCCAAGGCUGGGCACCACUGUGCAGGAAGGUAAAGAAUCUUUGAGCCAGUUAUGCAGCAUAGUCAUUGCAUAACACUUGACAUACAUUCACUUUGUGGCCCCAGUAGAUAGGUUGAAAGGAAAACCACCCAAUAUUGCUCAGGGUCUUACACAAUGCCACUGUCAAGUUGGGGCUUUCAAAAGACUGGGGAAGAACUUCAGCUGGCAUGAACUAGCACAAUGCAUUUUACAUCAGAUUUGGCCCAAAGCCCCUAAGUGGCCUUGUCCAAAAUGUUCAUUACAUGUGCUGGGUCCACAUUUCACCCACCAGCUCAACCCAUGGCCAUGCUUACCUUGCAAACCUCUUUCUCCGGAACGCCUCUUAAGAGUGCAAAUAACUCCAGAUGCUCUCUUCCUGUCAGCAGCUCGCUAAUAGCAUCAAACUGAGGGCAGUAGCCCAUGUUCUGAUGGACUUCUUGGAUCUUAGACAGGAUGCUGCAAGGCAAGACAAUAUCUCAUUAGCCUUCUGCACUCAUCCAUUGCCAUUUCAGGUACAGGAGACAGGAAAGGAAUGAGACAAAUGAGUGAUUUUUGAGGUGUAGGACUCUAACUACUGAGGUGAACAUGUCACUGAAUCCUCAAAGCAAUUUUGGACUAAGUGAAUUCAUUCUGACACAUGACUUAAGUGUGAUGGGAACCAUUUUCAUAUACACCCAAGUGAUUUAGGAGCAUAAGUCUUGUUUUCAAAAGGGGCACAAUACAGUGUUGAACAUUUCAAUACAUUUUAACAAUGCAGUUUUGAACUAUGACUCACAUUCAGCAAAACACUUAAGGCACAUGCUUAAAGCUAAGCAAAAAGGGUGUCAAAAAUUUUAACCCCGGUGUAAGGGGUGAGACUGCAGCACAGCUGGUGGAGACAAACAUCAGGAAUUUUCUUCGCAUACAGAAGAGGGAAGUAUCAAGACUUGCAGGGUCUUCCUCUAACCUGUUUCCCUUGAGAAAAGCUUCUCCCCCCGUCACAUCCGUGUCUCCAGUUAGCAUCUUGAAAGUUGAUGACUUGCCAGCACCGUUCACUCCCAGGAGCCCAAAGCACUGGAAACAUUAAAAGAUUGGCUGAGCACAGGCAGAUGGCAGGGUGUUGUGUGAUCUGCAGGAUCUUUAUAAAUGAAACUGAUGCAUGAGAUGGGAGGAGGCCACCCUGGCUGGCUUCAGAGUCAGGGAGGAACAAAUGUCAUUGUAGCUGUGAAUGCAAUAAAUUGGAUUUGAACUUCA